Molecule: ribosomal RNA, 510 nt
Filed under: uncultured glomeraceous AM fungus
Lineage: Eukaryota; Fungi; Glomeromycota; Glomeromycetes; Glomerales; Glomeraceae
Description: SSU rRNA
Rfam family: Eukaryotic small subunit ribosomal RNA
Source: RNAcentral
AGCAGCCGCGGUAAUUCCAGCUCCAAUAGCGUAUAUUAAAGUUGUUGCAGUUAAAAAGCUCGUAGUUGAAUUUCGGGAUCAAUGUUUCGGUCAUGCCCUUGGUAUGUACUGAUAUUAUUGGUUUCUCACCUUCUAAAGAACCGUAAUGCCAUUAAUUUGGUGUCACGGGGAAUUAGGACUGUUACCUUGGAAAAAAUUAGAGUGUUUAAAGCAGGCUCACGCUUGAAUACAUUAGCAUGGAAUAAUGAAAUAGGACAUCCGAUUCUAUUUUGUUGGUUUCUAGGAUCGAUGUAAUGAUUAAUAGGGAUAGUUGGGGGCAUUAGUAUUCAAUUGUCAGAGGUGAAAUUCUUGGAUUUAUUGAAGACUAACUACUGCGAAAGCAUUUGCCAAGGAUGUUUUCAUUAAUCAAGAACGAAAGUUAGGGGAUCGAAGACGAUCAGAUACCGUCGUAGUCUUAACCAUAAACUAUGCCGACUAGGGAUCGGAUGAUGUUAAUUUUUUAAUGACUCA